CCUGCCCAAGAGAUCGGGAUAACACCUGGAAACAGAUGCUAAUACCGGAUAACAACAGAUGAUGCCUAUCACCUGUUUAAAAGAUGGUUCUGCUAUCACUCUUGGAUGGACCUGCGGUGCAUUAGCUAGUUGGUAGGGUAACGGCCUACCAAGGCGAUGAUGCAUAGCCGAGUUGAGAGACUGAUCGGCCACAUUGGGACUGAGACACGGCCCAAACUCCUACGGGAGGCAGCAGGU
Molecule: ribosomal RNA, 237 nt
Filed under: uncultured Lactobacillus sp.
Lineage: Bacteria; Bacillati; Bacillota; Bacilli; Lactobacillales; Lactobacillaceae
Description: partial 16S ribosomal RNA
Rfam family: Bacterial small subunit ribosomal RNA
Source: RNAcentral